GGGGAUGUAGCUCAGUGGUAGAGCACUUGCCUCGAAUGCGUGAGGCCUGGGUUCAGUCCCCAGCACCACG
Molecule: transfer RNA, 70 nt
Filed under: Marmota monax (woodchuck)
Lineage: Eukaryota; Metazoa; Chordata; Mammalia; Rodentia; Sciuridae
Description: tRNA.Ser
Rfam family: tRNA
About the family: Transfer RNA (tRNA) molecules are approximately 80 nucleotides in length.
Source: RNAcentral